Molecule: long non-coding RNA, 79 nt
Organism: Etheostoma cragini (Arkansas darter)
Lineage: Eukaryota; Metazoa; Chordata; Actinopteri; Perciformes; Percidae
Exons: 3
Source: RefSeq, a predicted model, not a curated record
UUCACUGUUUUUAGAAUUCAAUAACUACAACAUUUGUCCAAAAGUCAACGAGUAACCGUGAUCAGGGCUCAUUAGACCC